This 497-nucleotide ribosomal RNA is filed under the name uncultured bacterium. RNAcentral's name for it is "partial 16S ribosomal RNA". It matches the Rfam family "Bacterial small subunit ribosomal RNA", at positions 28 to 507 of the family's 1533-position model. The record is from RNAcentral.
GAUGAAUGCUGGCGGCGUGCCUAAUACAUGCAAGUCGAGCGAACGGACGAGAAGCUUGCUUCUCUGAUGUUAGCGGCGGACGGGUGAGUAACACGUGGAUAACCUACCUAUAAGACUGGGAUAACUUCGGGAAACCGGAGCUAAUACCGGAUAAUAUUUUGAACCGCAUGGUUCAAAAGUGAAAGACGGUCUUGCUGUCACUUAUAGAUGGAUCCGCGCUGCAUUAGCUAGUUGGUAAGGUAACGGCUUACCAAGGCAACGAUGCAUAGCCGAUCUGAGAGGGUGAUCGGCCACACUGGAACUGAGACACGGUCCAGACUCCUACGGGAGGCAGCAGUAGGGAAUCUUCCGCAAUGGGCGAAAGCCUGACGGAGCAACGCCGCGUGAGUGAUGAAGGUCUUCGGAUCGUAAAACUCUGUUAUUAGGGAAGAACAUAUGUGUAAGUAACUGUGCACAUCUUGACGGUACCUAAUCAGAAAGCCACGGCUAACUACGUG